UUCCGUAGGGUGAACCUGCGGAGGGAUCAUUACCGAGUUUACAACUCCCAAACCCCUGUGAACAUACCAAUUGUUGCCUCGGCGGAUCAGCCCGCUCCCGGUAAAACGGGACGGCCCGCCAGAGGACCCCUAAACUCUGUUUCUAUAUGUAACUUCUGAGUAAAACCAUAAAUAAAUCAAAACUUUCAACAACGGAUCUCUUGGUUCUGGCAUCGAUGAAGAACGCAGCAAAAUGCGAUAAGUAAUGUGAAUUGCAGAAUUCAGUGAAUCAUCGAAUCUUUGAACGCACAUUGCGCCCGCCAGUAUUCUGGCGGGCAUGCCUGUUCGAGCGUCAUUUCAACCCUCAAGCCCAGCUUGGUGUUGGGACUCGCGAGUCAAAUCGCGUUCCCCAAAUUGAUUGGCGGUCACGUCGAGCUUCCAUAGCGUAGUAGUAAAACCCUCGUUACUGGUAAUCGUCGCGGCCACGCCGUUAAACCCCAACUUCUGAAUGUUGACCUCGGAUCAGGUAGGAAUACCCGCUGAACUUAAGCAUAUCAAUAAGCGGAGGAA
This 549-nucleotide ribosomal RNA is filed under the name Fusarium proliferatum. RNAcentral describes it as "eukaryotic LSU rRNA". The stretch from base 181 to 334 matches the Rfam family "5.8S ribosomal RNA". The record is from RNAcentral. Lineage: Eukaryota; Fungi; Ascomycota; Sordariomycetes; Hypocreales; Nectriaceae.